AGCGGAGUGGGGAAGUCUGGUAUCCCGCGAGGCCCAUAACCUCGAGGCCACUGGUUCAAAUCCAGUCUCCGCAACAA
RNAcentral lists this transfer RNA (77 nucleotides) under bacterium. Its description in RNAcentral is "tRNA-Met". It matches the Rfam family "tRNA". Rfam says of the family: Transfer RNA (tRNA) molecules are approximately 80 nucleotides in length. Their secondary structure includes four short double-helical elements and three loops (D, anti-codon, and T loops). The record is from RNAcentral.